This 2728-nucleotide ribosomal RNA is filed under the name marine sediment metagenome. RNAcentral's name for it is "bacterial LSU rRNA". It matches the Rfam family "Bacterial large subunit ribosomal RNA", at positions 3 to 2607 of the family's 2925-position model. The record is from RNAcentral.
UCAAGCUACAAAGGGCACAUGGUGGAUGCCUUGGCGUCAGGAGGCGAUGAAAGACGUGGUAAGCUGCGAUAAGCUUCGGGGAACCGCUAAACAGGUUUAGAUCCGGAGAUUUCUGAAUGGGGAAACCCAUUAGGAGUAAUAUCUUAAUAUCUAUUACUGAAUUCAUAGGUAGUAGAGGCUAACGAGGGGAACUGAAACAUCUAAGUACCCUUAGGAAAAGAAAACAAUAGUGAUUCUCCUAGUAGCGGCGAGCGAAAGGGGAAGAGCUUAAACCAAAUAUAUGAAAUAGCCCAUAAGCGUUGUAUAUUUGGGGUUGUGGGUUUUUAUCGGAUGAGGUUAUGGACUCGUCGAGAAGUUACAAAUCUAAUUUAUAGUUGAACAACCUGGAAAGGUUGACCGCAGAGGGUGAUAGUCCCGUAAGCGAAAUGAAUUAGACUUCUUGGAUAGAAUACCCGAGUACCACGGGACACGGGAAAUCUUGUGGGAAUCUGGGAGGACCAUCUCCCAAAGCUAAAUACUACCUGGCGACCGAUAGUGAACUAGUACCGUGAGGGAAAGGUGAAAAGUACUCCGGUGAGGAGAGUGAAAUAGUACCUGAAACCGUGUGUCUACAAGCAGUGGGAGUCCUAUUUAUGGUUGCUUGUCAACCGUGAAGGAUGACCGCGUGCCUUUUGCAUAAUGAGUCAGCGAGUUAUUCUGUGUCGCAAGGUUAAGCCGUUAGGUGUAGCCGUAGCGAAAGCGAGUCUUAAUAGGGCGUAUCCCCGCUUAAGCGGGGUGUAGUUGCACGGAGUAGACCCGAAACCGAGUGAUCUACCCAUGGCCAGGGUAAAACGGGAGUAAGAUCCCGUGGAGGCUCGAACCGGUGUUGGUUGAAAACAGCUCGGAUGAGCUGUGGGUAGGAGUGAAAGGCUAAUCAAACUCGGAGAUAGCUGGUUCUCCCCGAAAUAUAUUUAGGUAUAGCCUUGCAAUUGAGUGAUGGAGGUAGGGCACUGGAUGGGCUAGGGGUCUUACAGGAUUACCAAACCCAACCAAACUUCGAAUGCCAUUAUCUCUUAUUGCAGGAGUCAGACUACGGGAGAUAAGUUCCGUGGUCGAGAGGGAAACAACCCAGACCAUCAGCUAAGGUCCCCAAAAUGUACUUAGUGGAAAAGGAAGUGGAAACGUUCAGACAGCCAGGAGGUUGGCUUAGAAGCAGCCAUCCUUUAAAGAAAGCGUAACAGCUCACUGGUCGAGUGGGUCUGCGCCGAAAAUGUAACGGGGCUCAAGUACAUUACCGAAGCUAUGGCUCUCUAUGUUUUGCAUAGGGGGGGUAGGGGAGCAUUCCAUUGUAGGUUGAAGAUCGACCGAAAGGACGGUUGGACGAAAUGGAAGAGAGCAUGCUGACAUGAGUAGCGAUAAUGCCGGUGAGAAACCGGCACGCCGUAAACCUAAGGUUUCCUGAGGAAGGUUAAUCCGCUCAGGGUUAGUCAAUACCUAAGCUGAGGCCGAAAGGCGUAAGUGAUGGAAAACAGGUUAAUAUUCCUGUACCACCAUGUAAGCGUUUGAGUGAAGGGGGGACGUGGAAGGGUAGAUCAUCCAGGGAUUGGAUGUCCUGGUUCAAGCCAGUAGGUGGAGAGGGUAGGCAAAUCCGCCCUCUUGUAUAACACCGAGAGGUGAUGAGGAUCUCGAUUUCGAGAAUAAACUGAUUGAUCCCAUGCCACCAAGAAAAGCCUCGUAUCGAUCUUAUUUGUUGAUUGUACCGUAAACCGACACAGGUAGGUGAGGAGAGUAUCCUAAGGCGCUUGAGUGAAUCCUCGUUAAGGAACUCGGCCAAUUGACCCCGUAACUUCGGGAGAAGGGGUGCCCUUGUUAGGUGAAGUAACUUGCUUACGGAGCCGAAAAGGGCCGCAGAGAAAUGGCUGUAGCGACUGUUUACUAAAAACACAGGUCUCUGCUAAGUCGUAAGACGAUGUAUAGGGACUGACGCCUGCCCGGUGCUAGAAGGUUAUGGGGAUUUGUCAUCUUUCCAAUUCGUUGGGAAGAGAAGCAGUGAACCGAAGCCCUAGUAAACGGCGGCCGUAACUAUAACGGUCCUAAGGUAGCGAAAUUCCUUGUCGGGUAAGUUCCGACCUGCACGAAUGGUGCAACGACUUCAGCACUGUCUCAACGAGGAGCUCAGCGAAAUUGAAUUGGCGGUGAAGAUGCCGUCUACCCGCGACAAGACGGAAAGACCCCGGCACCUUUACUAUAGCUUGACAGUGAAUUUUGGUGUAGCUUGUGUAGGAUAGGUGGGAGACUUUGAAAUUGAGGCGCUAGCCUUGAUGGAGUCGUCCUUGAAAUACCACCCUGGUUAUUCUGGCAUUCUAAUCCAGGUCCGUUAUCCGGAUCGGAGACACUGUCUGGUGGGUAGUUUGACUGGGGCGGUCGCCUCCAAAAAAGUAACGGAGGCGCACGAAGGUUCCCUCAGGCUGAUUGGAAACCAGCCGUAGAGUGUAAGGGCAUAAGGGAGCUUGACUGUGAGACUGACAAGUCGAGCAGGUGCGAAAGCAGGUCCUAGUGAUCCGGCGGUUCCGCAUGGAAGGGCCGUCGCUCAACGAAUAAAAGGUACGCCGGGGAUAACAGGCUUAUCUCCCCCAAGAGUCCACAUCGACGGGGAGGUUUGGCACCUCGAUGUCGGCUCAUCGCAUCCUGGGGCUGUAGUUGGUCCCAAGGGUUUGUCUGUUCGCCAAUUAAAGCGGUACGUGAGCUG